Molecule: ribosomal RNA, 442 nt
Filed under: uncultured archaeon
Lineage: Archaea
Description: bacterial SSU rRNA
Rfam family: Archaeal small subunit ribosomal RNA
Source: RNAcentral
GCCCUUUUCCGGUUGAUCCUGCCGGAGGCCAUUGCUAUCGGAAUCCGAUUUAGCCAUGCUAGUCGCACGGGUUGGACCCGUGGCGGACAGCUCAGUAACACGUGGCCAAACUACCCUGUGGACGGGGAUACUCUCGGGAAACUGAGGCUAAUCCCCGAUAGAGCUUCCAUCCUGGAGUGGAGGAAGUUCGAAAGUUGCGCUGCGGCGCCACAGGAUGUGGCUGCGGCCGAUUAGGUAGACGGUGGGGUAACGGCCCACCGUGCCAGUAAUCGGUACGGGUGAUGAGAGUCAGAACCCGGAGACGGUAUCUGAGACAAGAUACCGGGCCCUACGGGGCGCAGCAAGCGCGAAACCUUUACACUGCACGUCAGUGCGAUAAGGGGAUUCCGAAUGCCAAGGCAUACAGUCCUCGCUUUUCUGGACCCUAAGGAAGUCCAGGAAC